RNAcentral lists this ribosomal RNA (290 nucleotides) under Escherichia coli. Its description in RNAcentral is "partial 23S ribosomal RNA". It matches the Rfam family "Eukaryotic large subunit ribosomal RNA", at positions 1316 to 1570 of the family's 3401-position model. Lineage: Bacteria; Pseudomonadati; Pseudomonadota; Gammaproteobacteria; Enterobacterales; Enterobacteriaceae. The record is from RNAcentral.
AAAUGGAUGGCGCUGAAGCGUCGCGCCUAUACUCCGCCGUCAGCGGCAAGUGGGAAGGCACGCGAGUCACAUCCGUCCUUCAUGAAGCUCUGACGAGUAGGAGGGUCGCGGCGGUGUGCGCAGAAGGGUCUGGGCGUGAGCCUGCCUGGAGCCGCCGUCGGUGCAGAUCUUGGUGGUAGUAGCAAAUACUCCAGCGAGGCCCUGGAGGACUGACGUGGAGAAGGGUUUCGUGUGAACAGCCGUUGCACACGAGUCAGUCGAUCCUAAGCCCUAAGAGAAAUCCUAUGCAG